GAUGGGUGAUGUAUCGAAAGGUGACAUGAUAGUGACGGUUGAUUGAGAGGGUUAGAAUUGAUGGUGGAUGGUGAUGAUGAAGGUGAUGAUAGUGAUGUUGAUGGAGGUGAUGAUGGUGAUGGUGAUGAUAGUGAUGUUGAUGGAGGUGAUGAUGGUGAUGGUGAUGAUAGUGAUGUUGAUGGAGGUGAUGUUGGUGAUGGUGAUGAUAGUGAUUUGAUGGAGGUGAUGAUGGUGAUGGUGAUGAUGUUACUGCCUCUCCCCGGGUGAGCUGAUUGCUGGGACAGCCAAGGCCCGGCGACUGUGCCUUUCCUGUGCAAAUGCACCAAGCCCAUGGCUGCA
This 339-nucleotide long non-coding RNA is filed under the name Aotus nancymaae (Ma's night monkey). RNAcentral describes it as "lncRNA (ENSANAG00000039494.1)". The record is from RNAcentral. Lineage: Eukaryota; Metazoa; Chordata; Mammalia; Primates; Aotidae.